ACCAGCGGAGGGAUCAUUACCGAGGUUUACAACUCCCAAACCCCUGUGAACAUACCUUAAUGUUGCCUCGGCGGAUCAGCCCGCGCCCCGUAAAACGGGACGGCCCGCCAGAGGACCCAAACUCUAAUGUUUCUUAUUGUAACUUCUGAGUAAAACAAACAAAUAAAUCAAAACUUUCAACAACGGAUCUCUUGGUUCUGGCAUCGAUGAAGAACGCAGCAAAAUGCGAUAAGUAAUGUGAAUUGCAGAAUUCAGUGAAUCAUCGAAUCUUUGAACGCACAUUGCGCCCGCUGGUAUUCCGGCGGGCAUGCCUGUUCGAGCGUCAUUUCAACCCUCAAGCCCCCGGGUUUGGUGUUGGGGAUCGGCUCUGCCCUUCUGGGCGGCGCCGCCCCCGAAAUACAUUGGCGGUCUCGCUGCAGCCUCCAUUGCGUAGUAGCUAACACCUCGCAACUGGAACGCGGCGCGGCCAUGCCGUAAAACCCCAACUUCUGAAUGUUGACCUCGGAUCAGGUAGGAAUACCCGCUGAACUUAAGCAUAUCAAUAAGCGGAGGAAAAGAAACCAACAGGGAUUGCCCUAGUAACGGCGAGUGAAGCGGCAACAGCUCAAAUUUGAAAUCUGGCUUUCGGGCCCGAGUUGUAAUUUGUAGAGGAUACUUUUGAUGCGGUGCCUUCCGAGUUCCCUGGAACGGGACGCCAUAGAGGGUGAGAGCCCCGUCUGGUUGGAUGCCAAAUCUCUGUAAAGUUCCUUCGACGAGUCGAGUAGUUUGGGAAUGCUGCUCUAAAUGGGAGGUAUAUGUCUUCUAAAGCUAAAUAUUGGCCAGAGACCGAUAGCGCACAAGUAGAGUGAUCGAAAGAUGAAAAGCACUUUGAAAAGAGAGUUAAAAAGUACGUGAAAUUGUUGAAAGGGAAGCGUUUAUGACCAGACUUGGACUUGGUUAAUCAUCUGGGGUUCUCCCCAGUGCACUUUUCCAGUUCAGGCCAGCAUCAGUUUUCGCCGGGGGAUAAAGGCAGCGGGAAUGUGGCUCUCUUCGGGGAGUGUUAUAGCCCGUUGUGUAAUACCCUGGUGGGGACUGAGGUUCGCGCUCUGCAAGGA
Molecule: ribosomal RNA, 1094 nt
Filed under: Fusarium sp.
Lineage: Eukaryota; Fungi; Ascomycota; Sordariomycetes; Hypocreales; Nectriaceae
Description: eukaryotic LSU rRNA
Rfam family: Eukaryotic large subunit ribosomal RNA (bases 497-1094)
Source: RNAcentral